CCCCAGUGGGUGUUUGUGUCAGAACUCAGGCUUGGAAAAUCCUCUACAAUUUUGAUCACCAGGAAGGUUCAGGUGUUGGUGUGUGAUGUAAAAGCAGCAGUGGGCUGUGGGAAAUAACUCUGAACUGGCAAACAGUGAGUCCUUCUUACUGAGUCCAAAGCCAUUCCUGAAGAAGAAAGCUGGAAUCAUGCACUGCACACACUGCAUUUCUCCUUUCCUCUCUGGCACACCUGUCAAGCCUUACAGCUUUGGCAGAAAACCAUCCCAAGGCACCCAAACCAGCAGUGCAGGCUGAGGCCCCGGCUGCAGACAGACUCCCCCUGCAUUCCUGGCUGUUCCAUCCUCCUGAGCGCUGUCUCAGAGCAGCUGCAGGAGCAGAGCUGAUGUUCAGCCCACACCUUCUCUUUGCUCCCAGGUUCCAGAUAUUCCCUGUAGCUGCUCAGGGCCGUCAUUGACCGUGUGGGAAAGACAAAUUUCCAACGUGCCUGACAGAGCUGCGGAAGGAGCGAAGCCUGACUCCUGAAUUGAUUUGGAUUCCCACAGCCCCGGGGGACUUUCUUUUAGGCUGAUGCCUGCCACAGCUGGAACUGUCAAUGUUAUCAUACAGAGCAGAGGUUUCAGUCUCCCUUUGGCAUAUUGAUUAUCUGGAAUUCAGUGUCGAUUCUUUCCGUUUUAUAGGAAUGUUAUUAAUUAUAAAUCUUACUUCUAGAAGAUAUAAGUACUCAUUGCUUGAAGUGAAAUUCAUUGCGGUGCUUGAAUCAUAUUAAGCGCCUUUAAUGAGAAAGAAGCUAAGAACUUCAAGAAACUCUAAAUUUAAUGUUAUUUCACCUCCACAA
Non-coding RNA from Taeniopygia guttata (zebra finch), 836 nucleotides. NCBI's taxonomy places the organism in Eukaryota, Metazoa, Chordata, Aves, Passeriformes, Estrildidae. The record is from RefSeq and is a predicted model, not a curated record.